UAAUGCAGGCAAUAUCCUUGAGAGAGGCGGAAGAUGUUGCAUCUUUGCAGGAGAAGUUGGGCCGGACACUGUCAAAGGCAGAAAUAAGUAGAAUAGGUGUAAGCAAACUCAGAUUAUUCUUGAAAGAAUUGCUGCGGAAAAGGUAUAUGGAUAGCGUUCCACUGAUCAUUCCACUUCUAGAAAAGGAGUACAACAACACAACAAGAAAGCUGAAUGAAAUUAAUCGGGAACUCAGCACCCUGGAUGAAGUAAAAUUAAAGGAGAAAGGACGAGCAUUUCAUGAUCUAUUCUAGACCAAGUUGUCGUUGCUAUUGAAAGGGACAUUUGUUGCUCCAGAUAAACUUGGUGAAACACUACAAGACGAGAGAAUUAAUGGAGGGGCAUUUGUUGCUUCUGAUGGUGUUCAUUUUCCUCACAAGCUAAUACCUAAUGUGGGAAUGCAUCUUUACGGGGGGUGCACAGUAUCACCGUGCCAUGGCUGAAUUUCGUUUUGUAGUUGGGGGCAUUAAAUGCCUUCCAAUUACGCAGGAAGAAAUUGUAAAUGCUUGUGGUGUAGAAGAUAUUCAUGAUGGAACAAACUACUCAAGGACUGCUUGUGUAAUAGCUGUUGCAAAGGUUAGGGACACAUUUGAACCUUUUCUUCAUCAGUUGGGUGGUAGACUGCUGCACAUUCUGAAGAGAUUGCUUCCUAUCUUCUUCAAAAAGAUCGCGAGCAUUUAAGUGGCCAUGAAGUGUUUCACAGACGUGUUGCUACUGCCUUUAACAACUUUGCUGAAUCCACUGAAAGAGCUUGC
This is an RNA transcript of Quercus lobata, 794 nucleotides long. It is a transcript of the gene named dynamin-like protein ARC5, with no coding region annotated. The record is from RefSeq and is a predicted model, not a curated record. NCBI's taxonomy places the organism in Eukaryota, Viridiplantae, Streptophyta, Magnoliopsida, Fagales, Fagaceae. The transcript has 9 exons.